RNAcentral lists this ribosomal RNA (331 nucleotides) under uncultured bacterium. Its description in RNAcentral is "bacterial SSU rRNA". It matches the Rfam family "Bacterial small subunit ribosomal RNA", at positions 42 to 401 of the family's 1533-position model. The record is from RNAcentral.
UCAGGCCUAACACAUGCAAGUCGAACGAACCCUUCGGGGUUAGUGGCGCACGGGUGCGUAACGCGUGGGAAUCUGCCCUUGGCUUCGGAAUAACAGUUAGAAAUGACUGCUAAUACCGGAUGAUGUCUUCGGACCAAAGAUUUAUCGGCCAGGGAUGAGCCCGCGUAGGAUUAGGUAGUUGGUGGGGUAAAGGCCUACCAAGCCGACGAUCCUUAGGUGGUCUGAGAGGAUGAUCAGCCACACUGGGACUGAGACGCGGCCCAGACUCCUACGGGAGGCAGCAGUGGGGAAUAUUAAGGAAUGGGCGCAAGCCUGAUCCAGCAAUGCCGCG